CUUUAUCUGAAAUUAAUGACGUAGUAAAAAGAAAAGUGAUUAUUUGCAUUUCUAAUUGCUUAUUCAAAAUUAUGACACUACCCAAGAGCAUAGAUUAUAGCAAUAGGCUUGAAAUUCUCGGGUUAUGCAUAUCCAUUUUUGAUAUGUAUGUAUGUAUGAAAUUUUUUAUAGGUACAAUUGCACUUUCAUGGACCAUAAAUGUCAGCCUUAUUCCAGAUUUUGUGUUUAUUUUGUCAUUGUAUACAUAUUAGUAAUACGCUAUGUUGUCAAAUUGCAGUUCUGAUCUAUGAACGGGAAAAUACCGAGGCCAAGCAAUUUUUUCCACAUCUUGAAGAAAAGUUGUUGGUGACAGAGAGAGCACAGCAACUUGCUGAAGGGGAGAGUGAAGAUGAUGAAGAAACCAUUGAUGGAAGCACCAAGGGGAGUACUAGCUGUUCAAAAAGCAGUAUGAAGAAAGUGAAGAAAGUUCUGAUUCUGAUGAUUCUGAGGAAAAUUAGUUUGUAAAUUCUUCUGCAAUAUUUCAUUGAUGAUUUUGGUUCUCCAGCAGGCAUUGUUAAACUGUACUACUUAAUCAUAAUUUCUCUCCUGAACUUCAGUAGUCUUUUUUGUGUAUGUAUUAUUUUCAAACUUAUACCUGCAAAAUUUACCUUGUUCUACAACUUGAUGACACAUGCACACUUGAUAUGUGCGGAAGUAAUUGGUAAAACAUUUUCCCCUUGGAGCAGCAAGUCACAUGGAAACUGUGGUGUAGGUUGUUAGUUGUGCAAAAGCAUUGUAUUUUAGGAGCAUUAUGCUUGCCACGUUCCUUUUCAUCAUUUGAACAGGGGAAAACUUAUCUUCCCACGUGAUUACAUGUAACUCUAUUUUGCAAAAUGAUUAUGAUGUCUUAAGUGACAGAAAUGUCACCCUAAAAUAUAAACACAGCUUGCUGAAAAAUGUUGUGCUUGUUAUAGCUUAAUGAACAUUAAUGAAAGAGCGCUUAAGAGUGUUUCAAGUAAAAAUCUGUACUUGAUGUCUUUGUAAAAAUGUAUAAUUUCAGUGAAUGUCUCUUAUCCAGAUUUGGAGAUAAGCCCUGUAACCCAGUUGAGUAAAGGCUGGUUGUAAAGUUGAUCAGAAAAUCUACAUAACUGGUAAGAUUGUGGGACAUUUAUCAGUUUAGUAUUCAGUUAUUGUUAACAUUAAUAAAAUUUAUCCACUGAAAUGGCA
This 1206-nucleotide long non-coding RNA is filed under the name Struthio camelus australis. RNAcentral's name for it is "lncRNA (ENSSCUG00000017422.1)". Lineage: Eukaryota; Metazoa; Chordata; Aves; Struthioniformes; Struthionidae. The record is from RNAcentral.